CUUAUGCCGGCGACCGGCGGACGGGUGCGUAACGCGUAUGUAACCUACCUUUGACAGGGGGAGUAACAUCGAGAAAUUGGUACUAAUACCCCAUAACAUCACCGGAGGCAUCUUCGGUGGUUGAAAACUCAGGUGGUCAGAGAUGGACAUGCGUUGUAUUAGCUAGUUGGUGAGGUAACGGCUCACCAAGGCGACGAUACAUAGGGGGACUGAGAGGUCAACCCCCCCACAUUGGUACUGAGACACGGACCAAACUCCUACGGGAGGCAGCAG
RNAcentral lists this ribosomal RNA (273 nucleotides) under uncultured bacterium. RNAcentral's name for it is "partial 16S ribosomal RNA". It matches the Rfam family "Bacterial small subunit ribosomal RNA", at positions 78 to 354 of the family's 1533-position model. The record is from RNAcentral.